RNAcentral lists this ribosomal RNA (616 nucleotides) under uncultured bacterium. RNAcentral describes it as "bacterial SSU rRNA". It matches the Rfam family "Bacterial small subunit ribosomal RNA", at positions 67 to 684 of the family's 1533-position model. The record is from RNAcentral.
CGGUUAAGCUCAUUUCGGUGAGUGUAUAAAGUGGCGAACGGGUGAGUAACGCGUAAGAAAUCUACCUAUGAGUGAGGAAUACCUAUUGGAAACAGUAGUUAAUACCUCAUAUCUCAACUAAAGGCAUCUUUGGUUGACUAAAGAUUUAUUGCUCAUAGAUGGUCUUGCGUCUGAUUAGUUAGUUGGUGAGGUAAUGGCUCACCAAGGCAACGAUCAGUAGCUGGUCUGAGAGGAUGAUCAGCCACAUUGGGACUGAGAUACGGCCCAGACUCCUACGGGAGGCAGCAGUAGGGAAUAUUGGUCAAUGGACGAAAGUCUGAACCAGCAACGCCGUGUGAGGGAUGAAGCAUUUAGGUGUGUAAACCUCUGUCAGAAGGGAAGAAAAAGUUUUACGGAACAAUUGACGGUACCUUCAGAGGAAGCUCCGGCUAACUUCGUGCCAGCAGCCGCGGUAAUACGAGGGGAGCAAGCGUUGUCCGGAAUCAUUGGGCGUAAAGAGCAUGUAGGCGGCUUGUUAAGUUAGGGGUGAAAGUUUGCGGCUUAACCGUAAAAUUGCCUUUAAUACUGGCAGGCUUGAGUACAGAAGAGGAAAGCGGAAUUCCUGGUAUAGCGGUGA